Molecule: small nuclear RNA, 104 nt
Organism: Jaculus jaculus (lesser Egyptian jerboa)
Lineage: Eukaryota; Metazoa; Chordata; Mammalia; Rodentia; Dipodidae
Source: Ensembl
GUGCUCGCUUCGGUAGCACAUUACUAAAAUUGGAAUGAUACAGAGAUUAGCAUGGCCUCUGCUUAAGAAUGACAUGCAAGGCUGGAGAGAUGGCUUAGCGGUUC